This 77-nucleotide transfer RNA is filed under the name Christensenellaceae bacterium. Its description in RNAcentral is "tRNA-Arg". It matches the Rfam family "tRNA". From Rfam's summary of the family: Transfer RNA (tRNA) molecules are approximately 80 nucleotides in length. Their secondary structure includes four short double-helical elements and three loops (D, anti-codon, and T loops). The record is from RNAcentral. Lineage: Bacteria; Bacillati; Bacillota; Clostridia; Christensenellales; Christensenellaceae.
GUACCCGUAGCUCAGUUGGAUAGAGCGACAGACUCCGACUCUGUAGGUCAACGGUUCAAUUCCGUUCGGGUAUACCA